This 251-nucleotide ribosomal RNA is filed under the name uncultured prokaryote. RNAcentral's name for it is "partial 16S rRNA". It matches the Rfam family "Bacterial small subunit ribosomal RNA", at positions 525 to 775 of the family's 1533-position model. The record is from RNAcentral.
ACGAACUGUGCAAACGUUAUUCGGAAUUACUGGGCUUAAAGAGUUCGUAGGCGGCCUUGUAAGUCGGGUGUGAAAGCCCCCAGCUCAACUGGGGAACUGCGCUCGAAACUGUAGGGCUUGAGGGAGAUAGAGGUGAGCGGAACUGAUGGUGUAGCGGUGAAAUGCUUUGAUACUAUCAGGAACACCGGUUGCGAAGGCGGCUAACUGGAUCUCUUCUGACGCUGAGUAACGAAAGCUAGGGGCGCGAACGG